UGGGGAAUUUUGCACAAUGGGGGCAACCCUGAUGCAGCGACGCCGCGUGAUUUAGAAGGCCUUCGGGUUGUAAAAAUCUUUUGUAUAGGAAGAAAAUGACAGUACUAUACGAAUAAGGUCCGGCUAAUUACGUGCCAGCAGCCGCGGUAAUACGUAAGGACCGAGCGUUGUCCGGAAUCAUUGGGCGUAAAGGGUACGUAGGCGGUUAAAAAAGUUAGAAGUGAAAGGCUAUAGCUCAACUAUAGUAAGCUUUUAAAACUGUUUAACUUGAGAGAUGGAAGGGAAAGUGGAAUUCCUAGUGUAGCGGUGAAAUGCGCAGAUAUUAGGAGGAAUACCGGUGGCGAAGGCGACUUUCUGACCAUUAUCUGACGCUGAGGUACGAAAGCGUGGGUAGCAAACAGG
RNAcentral lists this ribosomal RNA (402 nucleotides) under Actinomycetes bacterium. Its description in RNAcentral is "Actinobacteria bacterium partial 16S ribosomal RNA". It matches the Rfam family "Bacterial small subunit ribosomal RNA", at positions 355 to 776 of the family's 1533-position model. Lineage: Bacteria; Bacillati; Actinomycetota; Actinomycetes. The record is from RNAcentral.